RNAcentral lists this long non-coding RNA (1029 nucleotides) under Salmo salar (Atlantic salmon). RNAcentral's name for it is "lncRNA (ENSSSAG00000090229.1)". The record is from RNAcentral. Lineage: Eukaryota; Metazoa; Chordata; Actinopteri; Salmoniformes; Salmonidae.
ACCAGGCUCCCAGAACGUUAAGUCAGACGGAUUGUCCCGGAGGAGCGGCCCAUGGAUCCCACUCCCAUACUCCCCGCCUCUUGCCUGGUGGCGCCGGUAGUGUGGGAGCUGGACGCGGACAUUGAGUAGGCGUUACGUGCAGAGCCCGCUCCCCUCCAGUGUCCAGCUGGGCGUCAGUACGUUCCGUCUGCUGUCCGCGACCGAUUGAUCUACUGGGCCCACACGUUACCCUCCUCUGGUCAUCCUGGGAUCGGUCGGACGGUGCGCUGUCGUAGUGGGAAGUACUGGUGGCCCACUUUGGCUAAGGAUGUGAGGGUUUAUGUUUCCUCCUGCUCGGUGUGCACCCAGUGUAAGGCUCCCAGGCACCUGCCCAGAGGGUAACACUACGAUCCUGGUCGUUGUCCCUUUGCCCGGUCUCCCUACGGCCCUACAGACUGCGGAGGCCCUGUUUACACACGUCUUCCGGCACUACAGGGUGCCUGAGGAUAUGAUCGAGGUCCCCAGUUCACGUCGAGGGUCUGGAGGGCAUUCAUGGAAUGUCUGGGGGUCUCAGUCAGCCUUACCUCAGGUUUUCACCACGAGAGUAAUGGGCAGGGGGAGAGAGUUAACCAGGAUGUGGUGUGUAUUGGGGUAUCAGCCGGUUCUGGCUCCUUGGCAUCAGAGUCAGACCGAGGCUCCUGUGGUGGACGACUGGUUCCGGUGCGCGGAGGAAACAUGGGACGCCGCCCAUGUCCACCUUCAGCGUGCCGUGCUGCGCCAGAAGAAUGGGAGAAACUCCCCAAAUACAGCUGAAGACAACACCAAUGAAGACAUGUCAGACCACCAGACGGGUCCAUCUCAGCAAAUAAGAGCCCAGCGUUGCUCUAGCCAGUGAUCAGUUUUGACCAUUCUGCCUGCCCUGACCCUGAGCCUGCCUGUCUGACGUUCUGUACCUUUCUGACACUGCCCUGGAUUACUGACAUCUGCCUGCCCUGACCCUGAGCCUGCCUGCCGUUCUGUACUUUACUGACUCUGCCCUGGAUUACUGAC